RNAcentral lists this non-coding RNA (212 nucleotides) under Pseudomonas sp. The record is from RNAcentral. Lineage: Bacteria; Pseudomonadati; Pseudomonadota; Gammaproteobacteria; Pseudomonadales; Pseudomonadaceae. RNAcentral also lists the same sequence under 1 other name.
GCGUUUUACUUCCGCCAGGGUGCGCCUCACUUCUUACGAAGCGGCGUUAAACGGGAAGCCGGUGCGUCAUCAGACAAUCCCGGCACUGCCCCCGCAACGGUAAUCGACAGCAGCCUUGUGCUGCACGCGCCUCAACAGCCACUGGGUUAAACCGGGAAGGCGAGGUUGCGCAGGUCGAGAGUCCGGAGACCGGCCCUGAUGGAUGCGACUGG